This 67-nucleotide transfer RNA is filed under the name Hemipyxis plagioderoides. RNAcentral's name for it is "tRNA-Val". Lineage: Eukaryota; Metazoa; Arthropoda; Insecta; Coleoptera; Chrysomelidae. The record is from RNAcentral.
CAAAUUAUAGUUUAUUUAAAUAUUUUAUUUACAUUAAAAAGUUAAUUGUUAAUUCAGUUUAAUUUGA